AAGGAUCAUUACCUUUCAGUACAGAAGCGUUGUGUUGGUUGAGUUGUGCCGGUUGAGUCUCGCUCACAAGUGGGGUUCCUGGUAGCAACUCCCUUCAUAAUUCUUCCUGUCUAUCAUCCUUGUCUUUUGCGUACUAUUGUUUCCUCGGCGGGCUUGCCCGCCGGCUGGACAACCUUAUAACCUAUUUAAUUUUCAAUCAGCGUCUGAAAUACUAUAAUAAUUACAACUUUCAACAACGGAUCUCUUGGUUCUG
This 253-nucleotide unclassified non-coding RNA is filed under the name uncultured fungus. RNAcentral describes it as "partial contains 18S rRNA, ITS1, 5.8S rRNA, ITS2 and 28S rRNA". The record is from RNAcentral. Lineage: Eukaryota; Fungi.